RNAcentral lists this ribosomal RNA (468 nucleotides) under uncultured bacterium. RNAcentral's name for it is "partial 16S ribosomal RNA". It matches the Rfam family "Bacterial small subunit ribosomal RNA", at positions 28 to 507 of the family's 1533-position model. The record is from RNAcentral.
GACGAACGCUGGCGGCGUGCUUAACACAUGCAAGUCGAACGGUGAAGCUCCAGCUUGCUGGAGUGGAUCAGUGGCGAACGGGUGAGUAACACGUGAGCAACCUGCCCCUGACUCUGGAAUAAGCGCUGGAAACGGCGUCUAAUACUGGAUACGAGAAGGGUCCGCAUGGGCACUUUCUGGAAAGUUUUUCGGUUGGGGAUGGGCUCGCGGCCUAUCAGCUUGUUGGUGAGGUAAUGGCUAACCAAGGCGACGACGGGUAGCCGGCCUGAGAGGGCGACCGGCCACACUGGGACUGAGACACGGACCAGACUCCUACGGGAGGCAGCAGUGGGGAAUAUUGCACAAUGGGCGAAAGCCUGAUGAAGCGACGCCGCGUGAGGGAUGACGGCCUUCGGGUUGUAAACCUCUUUCAGCAGGGAAGAAGCGAAAGUGACGGUACCUGCAGAAGAAGCACCGGCUAACUACGUG